GAAAUGCGAUAAGUAAUGUGAAUUGCAGAAUUCAGUGAAUCAUCGAAUCUUUGAACGCACAUUGCGCCCGCCAGCACUCUGGCGGGCAUGCCUGUUCGAGCGUCAUUUCAACCCUCAGAACCCCUUGCGGGAUCUGGCGUUGGGGAUUGGCAUCCAGCCAGCCCCGAAAUCUAGUGGCGGUCCCUCCGCGACCUCCCCUGUGCAGUAGCGAUACCUCGCAGCGGGACAGCGGUCUGACCACGCCGUAAAACCCCCAACUUCUCAAGGUUGACCUCGAAUCAGGUAGGAAUACCGGCUGAACUUAAGC
This 307-nucleotide unclassified non-coding RNA is filed under the name plant metagenome. RNAcentral's name for it is "partial contains 5.8S ribosomal RNA, internal transcribed spacer 2, and large subunit ribosomal RNA". The stretch from base 1 to 105 matches the Rfam family "5.8S ribosomal RNA", at positions 50 to 154 of the family's 154-position model. The record is from RNAcentral.